Molecule: non-coding RNA, 199 nt
Filed under: Clostridium felsineum
Lineage: Bacteria; Bacillati; Bacillota; Clostridia; Eubacteriales; Clostridiaceae
Description: Clostridium roseum T-box sequence
Rfam family: T-box leader
About the family: Uncharged tRNA acts as the effector for transcription antitermination of genes in the T-box leader family. T-boxes are found upstream of many aminoacyl-tRNA synthetase genes and some amino acid biosynthetic genes usually in Gram-positive bacteria.
Source: RNAcentral
UUAAAGGCUUUGAACAAGAGUAGUAGUAUUUUUUUAUUUUUAAGAGAGCUGUUGUAUGGUGUGAAACAGUAAUAAAUAAUAUGAACUCGCUUGGGAGCUUAUUUGCAGAAAAGCAAGUACGGCUUAUGUCGUUAAUUUUUUAAGUGAGGUAUUUUCCUAACUUGAGUGGUACCGCGGAAGUAAGGCUUUCGUCUCAAUA